Molecule: unclassified non-coding RNA, 2263 nt
Filed under: Monomorium pharaonis (pharaoh ant)
Lineage: Eukaryota; Metazoa; Arthropoda; Insecta; Hymenoptera; Formicidae
Description: origin recognition complex subunit 2, transcript variant X5
Source: RNAcentral
GAUUAUUAGUAAAUGGCGCCAAAAUAACGAUUUUAUUCAGUCUAAAAUUCAGACCAUUUCAGCACAUUUCAGACAAUCUAUAAUAGAUGGAAUGACGAGAAAAUUUUCGGAAAGUCAAGCCAAAUUUAAUUGUCUGGACGAUCAAACGCGACACACAGAAUUUUUAUUGUGAAAAUUCACGUCAGUGUCAAGGAUGGCUUCUUCUAAGAACCUAAGGAGAUCUGCGCGAGUAAAAACUCUUGUGAAAUACACAGAAGAUAGUGACGAGGGCACACCACAAGGCACUCCCCAAUCUAAUAUAUUAAAGGUCGAGUUAGAAAAGCAGCUUGAAGAUGUCGAAGAGGACGUACAAAAACCACUUGAAUUAUUUUCUAAUAAGGAUGUGAGUGGAAGAAAACUGUAUGGAUUUCAAACGCCAACAAAAAGGAAUAACAUGAUGAUUAAAGCCAAUCAGUGUCGUACACCUGAGACUCCCAAAAGUUUCAAGACACUUCCAGUCUUAAAAAUUGUUCUUGACAAGAUUAUGAUGAGAGAUUUUCAGGAAAAUCAAGUUUUGAACAAUGAUGACAUUGAAACUAGAGUGUCUCGAAAACGAUAUUUGCCCAGUGUAAAUUCGAGUGGUGACGAGAGCGUGUCAGAAGAUAGCGAAUAUGUACCUACAGAUAAUGAAGUCAGUUCAGAGUCUGAUGGAACUUCUGAUAAAAGUGAAAAUAGUGAAAAUUCUGACAUGAGUGAGGAAAACAAUGUUAGAAGGGGAAUUAAACAGAGAGUAUUAAAACCUUUACCAAAACGUGACGUGCAAAGUACACCUAAAAGACCAGGAAGAGGACGUAAGACUGUGGCAUACAAAGAUUAUCACAUAAAAACUGAUGAAUAUUUUGAAUCUCAAUCGGAAAAAAUAAUUACGUCUGAUCAUACAUUAGGAAGACUUCGGAACGCUCGUCUUACCAAAGAUACUUUAGGCGAAUUAUUAACAAAUCAAAGUCACAUUUCUACAAUACAUAAAAAGCGUAUUUGCUCCUUGACAGAAAAUUGUAAAUCGUUUUUUCCUAUGUGGCAAUUCAUAUUGGAAGAAGGUUACAGUUUACUACUUUACGGAAUAGGUUCGAAAAGAAAUUUAAUAAAUGAUUUUCAUAAUGAAAUCAUAACCAAUCAUCCAACAUUGAUUAUAAAUGGAUUUUUUCCCAGCUUAACGCUAAAAGAUAUUCUUGAUAAUAUAACAAGUUUGUUAGAUGUAGAUAGUCCAUCAAAUCCUAAUGAUUGUUUAGAACUUAUCGAGACAAUUAUGAGGAAUAAUCCAGAUGAUAGACUUUAUUUAAUAGUUCAUAAUAUUGAUGGAAUAAUGCUACGUUCGAAUAAAGCUCAAAAUAUGCUUGCUAGCUUAGCAACUGUUCCAAAUAUUCAUGUCAUAGCGUCUGCCGAUCAUAUAAAUGCAUCACUCCUUUGGGAUCAUAUAAAACGGGCAAAGUUCAAUUUUUACUGGUGGGAUGCGACAACAUUAUUGCCAUAUAAAGCGGAAACUUCAUACGAAAGCUCAUUAUUAGUUCAACAAAGCAGUGGACUCGUCUUGUCUUCCCUCCAGAAUGUUUUCCUGUCCCUCACGUCAAAUGCUCGAACAAUUUAUCUCAUUCUUGUAAAAUAUCAAUUGAGCAAUAGCAAUAGUAAUUUUGCAGGGAUGCCAUUCAAGGAUCUAUAUCGGUCAGCGCGUGAACAGUUCCUGGUCAGUUCCGAUUUAGCAUUAAGAGCACAACUAACUGAAUUUAUUGAUCACAAAUUACUACGGACUAAACGCACAGUUGAUGGCGCUGAACAUUUAAUAAUACCCCUUGAUAAGACUCUUCUAAAACAAUUUCUGGAGCAACAUGGGUCAUGAUUUAUUUGAUGACUUUGAGUUACAUAUUUUUAAGUCAGGGUUAGUAAAAGAGAGAAGGAUUCGGUCAGAAGGAGAUGGAGAUUAACAUUAAACCUAUCUGAUGAAUCAAAUUCUCUUAGCAACAUAUUUGUAUUGUUGCUGGCAAUCACAUCAUGUGUUAUUGGAAUGGCAGCGACUGGAUCGUGUUUAACGGCGAGGUCUGCCUGGCUGUCAAUUCUCAGUGUUAAUUAAACUUGAUUCAUCUAGUCUCUUAAGAGUGGUCUUCAUGUGCAUCUCUCGAGUGAUAUCGCCAAGGUGAAACGAACUAUGCCAACCAACUUGCGGUGAGCGACUGUGCGCCUCAGACGUCGCGGGUCAGCUCGAACCUGCACAGCAGCAGUAGUAUGGCGG